RNAcentral lists this small RNA (156 nucleotides) under Arabidopsis thaliana (thale cress). RNAcentral describes it as "ATSL037970". Lineage: Eukaryota; Viridiplantae; Streptophyta; Magnoliopsida; Brassicales; Brassicaceae. The record is from RNAcentral.
AACCUAAACCCUAAACCCUAAACCAUAGAUCUCAAACUCUAAAACCUAAAUCCUACUUUAGGCUUUCGGAAUCCGGUUGCGGUUCUAGUUCUUAUGCUCAAUGAUACACAAAGCAUCUAGUCAUAUUUGACUACAAAUACGCUACCCAAGCUUAUU